AAAGUUUAUCAGUAAGUUGCAGACGCGCUAAUUAUGCCUCUUGGUACUUGCUGGCGGAUCAGUAUUAGCUAUACGCAUACCAAGUUUUUGAAUUUCCUCAAAAUCGUUUAAGAGACCAGGUAGAUUGUCAUGAAAUACUGGAUACGCAUACUCCAUGCAUGCAUCAAGGAUCGAAUACAUGAUUUAAAAAAUUGGACUAAUCCUUUACUACCUACUUUAGAGUAUCUUAACUUAACGAGUUAAAAGGAGUCGCUUGGAUGCUUUAUUUACAAUUUCAGAAACAUGUUUGUUCCCCAUAUGUUAUUAUCACAUUUUGCAAUUGCUUAUACUGUCAUAGUUAUAUAUGGACACGAUAUUAUAUGGUUCUAUUAGGGCCGACCGCCCCCCAAUCGCCACAAAAACCAUUCUAUCAAAAGGCCUAAAUCCAUAGAGAAAUUGGGAAGGGGGUAACACGUUCCAUUCUCGAAGUUAAAAGUCUCGAUCUAAGACAACGACGAUUUACUGGAGGAGCUUGAUGUGUGAAAUCUCGUUAAAGCAUUUGUAUAUAUAUGAUUCCAAGAAGAAUAGAUUUAGUUUAGAUUUUCGACUGUUAAAUUGGCAUGUAUAUCAUUGCCAUAGCAUUGAAUAUUUGUUCUCAAAUUUAUCAUGUAUACCAUGUAUCUUAUGAAAAGUAAUGCUAUUUUGAGAAUGCGACAAAUGCGUCUCAUAGAAUUAUCUAAAUGCAAAAUCUCCGAUCAAAAUUACAUUGCGAUUUUCUUCGCCCCCCUCCCCCCCCCCCCCCCCUUGCCCCGCAUCACGCACAGAAGGAAAAUAAGCUGACACAGACUCCGAAGAGAAAUAUCUGGUAAAAAAUCAUGUCUUCGAUGCACUUGAUAAUCCUCGGAAUUCUGCAAAAUUUCAC
Paramuricea clavata is the source of this 901-nucleotide non-coding RNA. The record is from the annotation of a GenBank genome assembly. NCBI's taxonomy places the organism in Eukaryota, Metazoa, Cnidaria, Anthozoa, Malacalcyonacea, Plexauridae.